UACAGAGGGUGCAAGCGUUAAUCGGAAUUACUGGGCGUAAAGCGCGCGUAGGCGGUUGUGUAAGUUGGAGGUGAAAUCCCCGGGCUUAACCUGGGCACUGCCUUCAAAACUGCACGGCUAGAGUAUGGGAGAGGAAGGUAGAAUUCCAGGUGUAGCGGUGAAACGCGUAGAGAUCUGGAGGAAUACCGAUGGCGAAGGCAGCCUUCUGGCCUAAUACUGACGCUGAGGUGCGAAAGCGUGGGGAGCGAACAGG
Molecule: ribosomal RNA, 253 nt
Filed under: uncultured bacterium
Lineage: Bacteria
Description: partial 16S ribosomal RNA
Rfam family: Bacterial small subunit ribosomal RNA
Source: RNAcentral